RNAcentral lists this ribosomal RNA (278 nucleotides) under uncultured Thalassovita sp. RNAcentral describes it as "uncultured Thalassobius sp. partial 16S ribosomal RNA". It matches the Rfam family "Bacterial small subunit ribosomal RNA", at positions 29 to 334 of the family's 1533-position model. The record is from RNAcentral. Lineage: Bacteria; Pseudomonadati; Pseudomonadota; Alphaproteobacteria; Rhodobacterales; Roseobacteraceae.
AACGAACGCUGGCGGCAGGCCUAACACAUGCAAGUCGAGCGCACUCUUCGGAGUGAGCGGCGGACGGGUUAGUAACGCGUGGGAAUAUACCCGACACUAAGGAAUAGCCACUGGAAACGGUGAGUAAUACCUUAUACGCCCUUCGGGGGAAAGAUUUAUCGGUGACGGAUUAGCCCGCGUUAGAUUAGAUAGUUGGUGGGGUAACGGCCUACCAAGUCGACGAUCUAUAGCUGGUUUGAGAGGAUGAUCAGCAACACUGGGACUGAGACACGGCCCAG